This is a long non-coding RNA of Pezoporus occidentalis (night parrot), 1104 nucleotides long. RefSeq lists it as uncharacterized. The transcript is spliced from 2 exons. Lineage: Eukaryota; Metazoa; Chordata; Aves; Psittaciformes; Psittacidae. The record is from RefSeq and is a predicted model, not a curated record.
UCCAGAGCAGUCGCGCCCUAGGCACAAGUAUCAAGGCAGCCGCUUCACGGGGUGAAGUAUUCGAUUAGUUAAAAAGCGAUCCGGAAGGAUCACUGCCUGUACGCGCUGAGCAGAGUGCAGAGCGUCAGCAGGUGGGGAACAGUCUUCACCGCUACUCCAGGAAGGAAAGGCUACCAAAAUACCGGGUUGCUCAAGGUGUUAACAGCUUACUUGAAGGGAGGUUUGAAAAAGGAAAGGCCCAAGUUCAUCUACACAUCUCCUCCUCUGGGAUACCAGAAGAACUCUUUCUGACAAGGAAAUACAAAACAAAAUCUGCUUGUUGGCACAAACAAUAGUAAAGCUACAUCAAUAAAAGAGGCUAGCAUCAGAAAUAGUUUGAUUAAAAAAAAAAACACACCAAAACCAAGAAAAUCCAGCAGGUCCCCAGGAAGCUAUGCACUCUUGGGAGACUAAGCACCUUAUUUUAACUUUACUCUGAAUUGAAUAUCUAAUCAAAACAAGCAAGGCUACAGCAUUUUCAAGUUGCCUUUAGCACAUAAACUUUCAUUUAAGUCUAAAUCAGCAUCAGGCUCCACAGCAAAACCUCAAUGACAGCUUACUUGUACUUCAAACAAUUUCAAAGUCUCUUCAAAGUUCAGAGUGGUUCUUUCAGUACUGGAAUAAUUGUAAUAAGUAACAGAAUACAGAUUACAGUGAUUGCUUUGUUAAUUGUAUUUCAGGUAAUAAAAUAUCCACUGCAUCCUGCUCAAAGCAGCAUUUAUUAAAGAUAGUAUCAAGAUAAGUCAAUGCAUAAUGAAGCUUUCCCUCCUACAAAUAUGUAAACAAGUUGACAGCAAGUUAUUAUUACAAUAUAAAAAUUAAAGCUUACAAUGCAUUUUCGUAAAGCUACUAACUUUAAUGUAGACAGUCUCUGGUCUGUAGCAUUUAAAAAUAUGAGUUCUUGAAAAAUGUUAAAGUAUCACCUUUGCACAUACAUAUUUUCAUAGAAAAAUACUUAAAAGACCAACUUCCCAUUAAUAAAAGCCACACCAAAAAUAAAGCACAUCUUUUGUCAUGAACAGCGUGUUAAAUGCAUCUAGCAUUUACUCCACCGGUCUGUUUAAC